GACGAACGCUGGUGGCGUGCUUAACACAUGCAAGUCGAGCGAUGAAACACCUUCGGGUGCGGAUUAGCGGCGAACGGGUGAGGAACACGUGAGGAAUCUGCCUUCCACUCUGGGAUAACUCCGGGAAACCGGGGCUAAUACCGGAUACUUUCAACUGGCGGCAUCGCCGGUUGAAGAAAGUUUUUCGGUGGAAGAUGACCUCGCGGCCUAUCAGCUUGUUGGUGAGGUAAAGGCUCACCAAGGCGACGACGGGUAGCCGGCCUGAGAGGGCGACCGGCCACACUGGGACUGAGACACGGCCCAGACUCCCACGGGAGGCAGCAGUGGGGAAUAUUGGGCAAUGGAGGAAACUCUGACCCAGCGACGCCGCGUGAGGGAUGAAGGCCUUCGGGUUGUAAACCUCUUUCAGCAGGGAAUAAGCGAAAGUGAAGGUACCUGCAGAAGAAGCACCGGCUAACUAUGUGCCAGCAGCCGCGGUAA
RNAcentral lists this ribosomal RNA (480 nucleotides) under uncultured bacterium. RNAcentral describes it as "partial 16S ribosomal RNA". It matches the Rfam family "Bacterial small subunit ribosomal RNA", at positions 28 to 523 of the family's 1533-position model. The record is from RNAcentral.